AUUGAACGCUGGCGGCAUGCCUUACACAUGCAAGUCGAACGGCAGCACGGGAGCAAUCCUGGUGGCGAGUGGCGAACGGGUGAGUAAAGUAUCGGAACGUACCUUUCAGUGGGGGAUAACGUAGCGAAAGUUACGCUAAUACCGCAUAUUCUGUGAGCAGGAAAGCAGGGGAUCGCAAGACCUUGCGCUGAUGGAGCGGCCGAUAUCAGAUUAGCUAGUUGGUGAGGUAAAGGCUCACCAAGGCGACGAUCAGUAGCUGGUCUGAGAGGACGACCAGCCACACUGGAACUGAGACACGGUCCAGACUCCUACGGGAGGCAGCAGUGGGGAAUUUUGGACAAUGGGGGCAACCCUGAUCCAGCAAUGCCGCGUGAGUGAAGAAGG
RNAcentral lists this ribosomal RNA (384 nucleotides) under uncultured bacterium. RNAcentral describes it as "bacterial SSU rRNA". It matches the Rfam family "Bacterial small subunit ribosomal RNA", at positions 30 to 414 of the family's 1533-position model. The record is from RNAcentral.